Molecule: long non-coding RNA, 2003 nt
Organism: Canis lupus familiaris (dog)
Lineage: Eukaryota; Metazoa; Chordata; Mammalia; Carnivora; Canidae
Exons: 3
Source: RefSeq, a predicted model, not a curated record
CACCCUGUUGGUGUCCAGAGAGGAAUGUCCAGGGGUACCUCGCGCCAAAUCCCCACACCGAAGUCUCCCUUCUAGGGGAGCGAUAGCAUCUUCCUGGUUCUGGAACCCUUUGGACCCACCACACUCUGUCAUUCUCAGCGUGGUGAAGGUUCACCAUCUGGUGGUCCGGGGUCCCCUCCUGAGUGGGGACACACUUUAGCGGACUCGGCUGUAACCUCUCUGCGAUUGGACGGAACGAAAAAUGAAUGAGGAAGUUGGGAUCAAUCCCUGCCCUCGGCUCCAGCCUGCAGCGAGGAGCUCAGCAACGCCGACGCCGCGCCCCGGACCCCGCAGCGGGGAGUCCCGGGUGGUCAGGCGGCCCCGCGCCGGCCACACCGUCUCCCCUUAUCAAGACAACCGCGAAACACUCCGCCUUUCCAAAGAGCAAGUAUUCGAGACUAUCUUUUGCCUGAGAGAAAGUCAAUCGGGAUGUCACAUGUACUGAUGUUACGGAUUGAAUUGUGUCCCUCCAAAAUUCUUAUGUUGAAGUCUAAUUGCCAAUGUGACUGUUUGGAGACAGGGCCUAUUAGGAGGGAAUCAUCUUCCAAAACAUCUACUGAAGACUAGCUUUGAUGCCUCUACUCUCGGCAACUCCACCAUACCAACUACUUGAUCUGAAAUUGUAUAUUUGCUCUUUCCCCCCGACAUGACCAUGGCCACUUGAGAAUUGGGACUGUGAUUUUUUUAAAUCUGUGAAUCUCAAUCAUAUAAUGCCUGGCUUAAUAAGCAUUCAUUGAAGAGUAUUUUAAAAAGGAGUAAAAAAAUUCUUCAAAGGGCUUAAAACUUUGUGGAGGAUUCACGCCCAUCAGUGAAGGUCGUAAUUCAGAACAUGGGGUUUCAGAUCUUGCAUCAGGAUUUCCACAUCAGAAUGAGAAGAUCCUUGUGAGAUGAGAAACUUUUGGACCUGGAGUGGAAAGUGACUAAAUUAGGCCACAAAGCUAGUUUGCAAGGGCACCCUUUCCUCUAUUGCAAGCCUCCUGUUUUAAACACUUAACACUUCCAACUAUAUCUCCAAAUAACUUAAUUAUCUGUAGCUCAUUGUUUUUAGUAUAAUUAUGUGUUCAAUGUAUCUCCGACAAUGGACUUGCAGAGAACAUUUAAAUGUGAAUGCAUAGUCCACAUUUAGAAGAUGUUCAGUAUAUAUCUGUUGACUUAGAAAAUGAAGCCAAAACUAAAUCCAAAAUGUCCAUACGCCCAAUUUCUGCAUCUUCCUUGUUCCCCAUAUGGCCUCCAGUAUGUUGCAAAUAUUUAUUAUAUGACAAAGAUGUAGUUCUUGGAUACUAAUAAGUCAUGGACUCAAAAGCCUGGAGGUAUUUGGCAAAAUCAUUCUAUAAUGAAGUAUCUUUAUUUUGAUACCUUUCCAUUUGUAUAUUGUACUGAUGGGGAAAAAAUGAGAGACUAACAAAAAGUUCUGCACAGAAUUAGAAUCUAGGAGAGACGUGGACUGGACAGAGAGGGAAGAUAAAUUGUCAAGGGCUGGGAAUCUUGGUUUGCUCAUUAAUAGAAUGUAGAAUAAUUCCUGUUAAGGAAAGUUAAGUUGGAGCUCUGGUAGGAGAGCACAUAUACCUGACUUCCCAGGUAGAUGUUUAGGGUGUUAGAGUAGAAAAGGAUCAAAAAGAUCAUCUAGUCUAAAAUAUCUUCCAAUGAUAAGCAAACAUGUGGUCUGAUUAACAUCUACAGAAUUGGAGGCACACUACUACCAAAAUUAUAGGCAUAAAGUGGUAUGCACGUGUAGUGUGUGUGUGUGUGUGUGUGUGUGUGUAUCCUUUUAAGCAUAUACAUACCAUAAAAGAAGAGUUUUUAGAUCAGAUCAUUUGGUCAUCUUGGAGUUUUAGAAAAGGGGUGGGGAAGAAAAAAUGUAGGCCAAUUGCAUUUAACAGUAGUGAGUCACACAGAUCAGAGAAUGUGAUCUGAUCACUGGUGUAUUCAUUGUCAUGUCUAUUACGCUGAGGUGUCACAAUUAC